CCGCCGCCGGCCCGGCCCGGCCCGGCCCGCUGAGGCGGCGGAAGGAGCUGCCGCGCCCCGCCGCGGCGCGCAGGUGGCGCCGGGGGCCGCCGGGCGGCGGGGCGGGGCGGGGCCCGGAGCCGGAGCCGGAGCCGGAGCCGGAGCAGGGCCGCGGCGCUCGGGAAGGGCCGGGCCGGGCCGGGGCAUUGGCUGGGGCCGCGGGGGCGCCGCCGGCGCGGCGCUGGGGGCGCCUGAAGGGGGAGAAAGCGUCGCGGGCAGCGAGCGCCGAGAGCCGCCGCCGGCAGAGGAGGAACCGGACCGGACCGGACCGGCGCGCGGCUCCGGCGUCGCUGAGGGUCUCCGCGCCGCGGGUGCGUGUGCCGUCCCGUCCCCCCCCCCCCCCCCACCACAAAAUUUACCGAGGUUUUUUGUUUUCUCCAGCAUGAAUAGAGAGGGGAUUUUUUUUUCCAGUUUUUCACUUCAGUUUUUCAUUUUUCAGUUCCGAGGGUUGCGUUAUUUUUCAAGCCGCGGAAAGCGUAGCGGCCAGCGGGGAACGCGAUGCCACAUGAACUGA
RNAcentral lists this long non-coding RNA (553 nucleotides) under Apteryx rowi (Okarito brown kiwi). Its description in RNAcentral is "lncRNA (ENSARWG00000013035.1)". Lineage: Eukaryota; Metazoa; Chordata; Aves; Apterygiformes; Apterygidae. The record is from RNAcentral.